ACUCCUGAUUGGGAGUGCAGUCACCUGCAAAGUGCUCUGCUGCUUGCCCACACCCCUCUGAGUGACAGGCACAAGCUAACCCUUGUCACACCAGGCUGACCUUUGCAAGCUUUCCUAAAUGUGGAAGACUUAACUGCAUAAUUUUGUGGCCAUGGGGGGCUGCUUUCUUGCAUUCCCCCU
RNAcentral lists this small nuclear RNA (180 nucleotides) under Crocodylus porosus (Australian saltwater crocodile). Its description in RNAcentral is "U1 spliceosomal RNA (ENSCPRG00005012316.1)". The record is from RNAcentral. Lineage: Eukaryota; Metazoa; Chordata; Crocodylia; Crocodylidae.